GAAAUGCGAUAAGUAAUGUGAAUUGAGAAUUCAGUGAAUCAUCGAAUCUUUGAACGCACAUUGCGCCCGCCAGUAUUCUGGCGGGCAUGCCUGUUCGAGCGUCAUUACAACCCUCAGGCCCCCGGGCCUGGCGUUGGGGAUCGGCGGAAGCCCCCUGCGGGCACAACGCCGUCCCCCAAAUACAGUGGCGGUCCCGCCGCAGCUUCCAUUGCGUAGUAGCUAACACCUCGCAACUGGAGAGCGGCGCGGCCACGCCGUAAAACACCCAACUUCUGAAUGUUGACCUCGAAUCAGGUAGGAAUACCCGCUGAACUUAAGC
RNAcentral lists this unclassified non-coding RNA (319 nucleotides) under plant metagenome. RNAcentral describes it as "partial contains 5.8S ribosomal RNA, internal transcribed spacer 2, and large subunit ribosomal RNA". The stretch from base 1 to 104 matches the Rfam family "5.8S ribosomal RNA", at positions 50 to 154 of the family's 154-position model. The record is from RNAcentral.